This 608-nucleotide ribosomal RNA is filed under the name uncultured bacterium. RNAcentral's name for it is "bacterial SSU rRNA". It matches the Rfam family "Bacterial small subunit ribosomal RNA", at positions 338 to 948 of the family's 1533-position model. The record is from RNAcentral.
CCUACGGGAGGCAGCAGUGAGGAAUAUUGGACAAUGGGCGCAAGCCUGAUCCAGCCAUGCCGCGUGCAGGAAGAAGCAUCUAUGGUGUGUAAACUGCUUUUGUACAGGAAGAAACACUCCCUCGUGAGGGAGCUUGACGGUACUGUAAGAAUAAGGACCGGCUAACUCCGUGCCAGCAGCCGCGGUAAUACGGAGGGUCCGAGCGUUAUCCGGAAUCAUUGGGUUUAAAGGGUCCGUAGGCGGUUUAAUAAGUCAGUGGUGAAAUCUGGUCGCUCAACGAUCAAACGGCCAUUGAUACUGUUAGACUUGAAUUAUAAGGAAGUAACUAGAAUAUGUAGUGUAGCGGUGAAAUGCUUAGAUAUUACAUGGAAUACCAAUUGCGAAGGCAGGUUACUACUUAUGGAUUGACGCUGAUGGACGAAAGCGUGGGGAGCGAACAGGAUUAGAUACCCUGGUAGUCCACGCCGUAAACGAUGGAUACUAGCUGUUCGGAGCAAUCUGAGUGGCUAAGCGAAAGUGAUAAGUAUCCCACCUGGGGAGUACGUUCGCAAGAAUGAAACUCAAAGGAAUUGACGGCUGAGAGAGCGAGACGACGACGAGGGAGGAGG